Molecule: ribosomal RNA, 77 nt
Filed under: Meyerozyma guilliermondii
Lineage: Eukaryota; Fungi; Ascomycota; Pichiomycetes; Serinales; Debaryomycetaceae
Description: partial 28S ribosomal RNA
Rfam family: Eukaryotic large subunit ribosomal RNA
Source: RNAcentral
GUUUGACCUCAAAUGCAGGUAGGAAUACCGGCUGAACUUAAGCAUAUCAAUAAGCGGAGGAAAAGAAACCAACAGGG